Molecule: long non-coding RNA, 3841 nt
Organism: Spinacia oleracea (spinach)
Lineage: Eukaryota; Viridiplantae; Streptophyta; Magnoliopsida; Caryophyllales; Amaranthaceae
Exons: 5
Source: RefSeq, a predicted model, not a curated record
UGUAGCUGGUAGGAACAGGUAUUUCGUCCAAAAAAACAAAGAAAAGAAUGGAACCCAAACCUAAAUUUAUUUCACCCUUCCUUCCUUGUAUCAGCAGACACAGAAAACCAAUCCUGACUCCCCCCUUAGAUCUACUCAUUCACAAAUUCUCACUCCUUUGUUCAUAAUCAAAACCCAGAUUUAUCUUCGUCAAUCAAUCUAUGUAUCCCUAAUUCACUAAUUUUUUUACCUCACCGGAAUUUAUCUUCUUCAAUUGAUCCAACAAUGUGAAUUUCGUCAUCUCUGCUCUCUUCCCCUAUUUCGCCGCCGCUGUUUGGGAUUCUGAUGGUUGUUGACGCUAUCGUUGCUAUUUAUGAACUGAUUUCUUACUCAUUUCCGGCAAGAAGUGCCCGCUGGCGCUUCGCCGUCGCCAAAGGCUGCUAAUUGUUAACCAUUGUUGUCGAGACUCGUCGAAGUCACUCUGUAGCCUCGCCGGAGCUGCUGUUGCUGCGGUUCUGUUGGUGUUGUCAGAUCUAACGUAACACAAGAGUGGAUAAAUCUAAAGCUUAAAGGGAAGUUAAAGGAACUUUUGGUAAGAAAUAUGUUGUAGCAGUUUUGUUUACACCAAGCUACUGUAAUAUGAUUAUCAUUUUCCUUAUGGCACAAGCUGAAAAUCUGGUCGUGAAUGAUAUUAUAAAGGUUCUGUAGAAGGUGUUUGAUUAUCUGAAUUGAUAUGCUUGUGUUUAUAUUGUGACUCUUGACAUAUUAAGUUGCCAAGGCGCAAGUGAUGGCUUAUCUUACUUAAUUAGCGAGACAGGUCGUCUGCAACGAUUAACUCUAGCUUGUGGUUAUCUUCUAUAACUCUUUAAGAUAUUUUAUUCUUGCUUUUGAAAAAUAUGUGCGUCAUUUUCUCUAUUAAUUUUUUUUUCAGGUUAUUCUUGUCACUUGUCCUUUCCUCAGGCUUUUGUUUGUGGAUUAGUGUUUUCAUUUCACUAUUAAGUUUGGGUGACUUGUUUAGGAGUCUGUACAUUUUUUUAGGCCUAAGGGGAUGUUUGGUAUGGCUUUUUUCUAGUCCGGAAACGGAUUCAAGUAACCAUUACCCUUACUGAAUGUUUGGUCAGAGUUAUGGAGUAGCGAUACCGUUAUUUAGGGGUAAUCUGUUCCUCCCCUUUGUUACUGGUGAAGGAAAUAUGUCCUUCACCCAAGGUGCAUUAAGUCUAAUACCACGGUUCAGAUUAAUUGCGAACAAUUAAUUCAGUGAGAUCAAGUGAUCGGAAUAGCUAGCUGGAGCAAUGCUUCCGAUCAGUGAGUUCUAAUGAAUAUUAAGCUCACAACUUACUCUUGACUGAACCUACAAGGUCACACCAAUGACACAUAACAGAUCACCGGAUUAAAUGAAUCGAAAAUUCAUUUAAUAGCUUUUCAGAAAUUAGUUUUGGAAAACGUAUUAUACGAUACGACCUUGCAUCGGAAUCGUAUAUCGUAUCGCGAAUAUUCGUAAGCUAGGUGAAACGAAUAAAUUGUAUCGUACGACGGUGAUUCGUCGUAUACGAAACGAUAAAUAAUAUCCGGAACGAUAUUAAGUCGCGAACACAAAGAGUGGCCCACGAGCCGAGUGCGCGAGGCACUCAAGGCCCAUGGGCGCUUGGCACGCAAGCAAAGGAAACACGGCAGCGCUGGCCCAUGGCCGAGCAACUGCGCAUGUGUGCGCGCGGGCCAAGUGCAACAACAUAGCAGCAGCUGCGCGCGGCCCACGGUCCAGCACGCUGCGUGCUCGUGUGUGUUGCAUGGGCUUGCUGGCCGGUCGUGGCCCUUGUGGCUGGGACGGUUAGCAAGGUUAUUCUAAUAACCUUCUAACCCAUGUUUUCCAUAAUACAAUUCAGUCAUAUAUCAAACCCUAAAGGAGGAGAGAGGAACCCUAAUUCUCUCUUAGCCUCCAUGGAUGUGUUCUUCCCAAAAGCAAUAACUCUUGAUUGAUUGUCUAAGCUACGGUUAUCAAGACGGAUCUGAUCGUGUCGGUGAACCAAGUAGAGGAACGACAAGUGGAAUUCUAAGUUCGUGUUCGUUGACAGAUUACUAGGUAAAAUACGCUUCAAAUGUAAGUUUGCUUAAUCUGUGCUUUAUACAUGUUUCCUGGCUUUGGGGAUUGUUUCCGCACAUGUUAUUAUGUUUAACUGUAUUCCCCUACAGUGGUAUCAUGAGCCUUAUGUAUUUAAAGCAUAUUUUAGCAUGUUUUAUUUGUUUUUGUUGCUGUCGAAAUUUUCGAAUUUUUGGUGAUUUUUUCGGAUUUUUUAUUGGAUUAUUGGAUUAAUCGCAUAAGCUGUUCCGAAAUAAAAAAGAUUCGUUUUUUCGACUUUUCAAACCCUAAUCUGAUUGAAAACGAUUUUCUAAGAUCAAAUCAUGGGAACGGAAUUGAAAAACAGGUCUCGAAGUGUCGUUUUUUGGGCGUUUUUUUUAAUUUUUAAUAAAAAUUAAAAGUGUCGGAAAGUAAUUCAAUUAAAAGGCUGCGGGGUAUGCGAGCUUGCUCGUGUGCCUCGUAGGCUACACAGGCGCCACAAUGGGCUGGGUGCAAGCCUAGCCCAACCAUGCACUUGGACUUUUUUCCUUGAAAAUUGUUUAUUUCGUUGGGCUUAACAUGUUUGCAUUAAUUUGGGCUAACGGGAUAUUUAAUUUAAUAUUUUAUUUGCUUGGGCCGGGCCGCGAGUUUUAAUUUAAUAUUUUAUAAUUAAUUAUCCGGAAUAAUUAUUGGUUUGAGCGGGAGCCACUAAAUGAAACUAAAAUGAAAUAAUCAUUUUUAAUUAUUUUUGUAGGUCGCAUUAUUUUAAUUAAAUUCAAUUUUAAUUAGAAUAAAGUCUAAGGAUUAAUAAUUUGGAAAUUGAUUAAUCUUUUAGGACGCGUUUAUGUGAACGUGAAUUUUAAUUAAUUCACGUAAAUACUUGCAUAAUUAUAUGGGCCAUUCGUUUUAGCAUACGAAUGGGUGAAUGCAUAGAAUGUAUAUUUUAUGUAAUGCAGGUACUCCAAGUGACUAGUAUGGCCAAUUUAGGAUAGUUAAAUACGGUCUGCGAACCGUUCUAUCUUUGAAUGUAAAGUUUUAAAUAUGGUCUGCGCACCAUUGAAAUUUUGAUGUAAUUUUAUUAUUUUCAAGUAUUUCUAAGUUUAGAACUUUAAGUUAGCAUUUGAACAAAGAUUCAAGACGAUGCCAAGCUAACAAGAUGGUAAUGAAGAUUGGAUGCUUCAAGACAAGAUGUUUCGGGCCAUACUAGUUCACCAUUUAUUUAUGCAUUUUGAUAUAUAUUAUGCUUGAAUGUAUGUAUGUAUGCUUUGCAUGAAUAGGUUGUUUCGUAUGACUCGAUUAGAUUAAGUUCACUAAAUAAUCGAACCAACAUAGAAACAACUAGGUCCGAAGUAAUAUUGAGUUCAAAAGUUGCCUUCCAAAUCAAGCACUUAAAAAAAAUCUAGGGAUCUAAGAUAGUAGGUUUCCGCCAAAGCGAGGUGCUAUUUUAGUUGAGUUAGGUGGUAAGGCGUCCCAAAGGAGCACGUUGAUUGUGGUUUCAACUCAAAGAACAAUGGCAUUAUGUUGUGGCAAUGGGAUAAAUUAUGGUAUUAAUUUAUUAACCAAGAGUAAUUUGGAGAUUACUAGCAAUAGGUUUCCUUACCUAGAAUCUUAAACUACUUAAGACAUGCAAAAGCUGCUUAAGGAUUUAUGACUUUUAGGGUCUUGGAAUCUUUUCAUUCAUUUUUGGACCAUGUUUUUGCUUUUGCAUGAAUGAAAUGUUUAAUAGCUUUAAUGAUUGCGUGAAUGCUUUUAUUUCAAGUUAUUAAAGUAUGAUAAAUUUUUUCUUUGCUAGUUCAUUCUAUAGAA